RNAcentral lists this ribosomal RNA (442 nucleotides) under uncultured bacterium. Its description in RNAcentral is "bacterial SSU rRNA". It matches the Rfam family "Bacterial small subunit ribosomal RNA", at positions 958 to 1398 of the family's 1533-position model. The record is from RNAcentral.
AACGCGAAGAACCUUACCUACCCUUGACAUGCUCGGAAUUUGCUAGAGAUAGUGAAGUGCCUUCGGGAGCCGAGACACAGGUGCUGCAUGGCUGUCGUCAGCUCGUGUCGUGAGAUGUUGGGUUAAGUCCCGUAACGAGCGCAACCCUUGUCCUUAGUUGCCAACAGGUAAAGCUGGGAACUCUAGGGAGACUGCCGGUGACAAGCCGGAGGAAGGUGGGGAUGACGUCAAGUCCUCAUGGCCCUUACGGGUAGGGCUACACACGUGUUACAAUGGGCAGUACAGAGGGAAGCGAAGCCGCGAGGUGUAGCAAAUCCUAAUAAAGCUGUUCGUAGUCCGGAUUGGAGUCUGCAACUCGACUCCAUGAAGUUGGAAUCGCUAGUAAUCGCGGAUCAGAACGCCGCGGUGAAUACGUUCCCGGGCCUUGUACACACCGUACGUC